CAAUAUUAAGAGAACACAAUAUUUUUUUUCCUUGCUUUUCUUCUAAUAAAAACUCCGUUCAGCUCCGGUUCUUUCAUAUUCAAAUGCAUAUUUUAAAAUGAAUAUUUCAAAAUGUUCCUUCAUAUUCUUAAUAACCCAGGGUAUUCGAAAAACUCUGUUUGCACAAGUAUGAUAAAAUUUUUAAAAUCCAAUAUAUCAAAUUAUAACGGCAAUUCUUUUUUCCGGUACAAAUUCAAAAUCUGACGUUUUAGCCAACUUUCGCCAAUGUUAACAAAUUAUUCAAAUCCUCAAUCUUUCGCUCAGUAUUUGCUUUCUUUUCCAGAAGCUAAUUCGUGGAAGUAAAAUUAAAAACUACUCUCCACAUUCAUUAUGAAUCCAAAUUGCAUACAAUAAAUUAAUAAAUACAUAAAAAUUGAUUUCAUCAUUCGUACCGUGUAUGCAAAUGUCCUCUACUCAUCAUACAAAUUUUAGAUCCUGCAUACGAAUGUGCUCAUUAUAACAUAAGUUAGUACGUUUCUCAGCCUAAAUUUCAACAAAUUAGUCGAAAAUACAAAUUAUGUUAGCAUCGAGAGCAAUUUUACGCAUCUCUUCAUCUACUCCUUCCUCUUUAAACAAAAAAUAAGAAAAUUACUAUAGGUGACAAAAAUUUUGUGGGGGAAAGUAUAUUUGAUAUCUGCAAAAUUAUACAUACAUAAUGCAAAAUCAGUUAUAUUAAAUCAGGGCUCAAAAUAUUUUUAGUUUAAGUAGGUACUUGUUUGGCUCAUGAGAAUGUGUAAGUAGAACAUAUUUUAUUGUUGCAUUCUCAGUGUGCAGCAGGGUUGAUUGCUUGCCAACAGCAUCCAUGCGUCAUUCAUAUGGGUUCCAGCCAAGGAAAAAGGACACAUACAUUACAGAGAAUGUCAGAGAUCAUUAGUGAUCUAUGUGCAAUUUUGAAGUGACAGAAUAGUCAUCUAUCUUACCGGUUCCGUUGGAAAGCUCAUUACUCAUUACUGACAGCGAGGUCGCACAUACAUAGUUAGUAAAUGUCUUCUUCGCCUCUCUUGACUUAAAUCUAUGCAUACCGAAUGUGUUUUCUUUAAGUUGGGCAGCGAAGCCGUUAAGUUAAUUUUCAACCCACUGGUGGGACGGAAAAUCAUUUAAAAACUUCUAACCGCAUCCACAUCUGGAUACCACGUUAUAUAUAACACAAGUGGAAAUAUUGCCAACUUUAAAAAUACAUUUGGAACCAUCCGAAUUUUCCCAUGUCACAUUUUGACCACGUACAUUUCUUCUUCAUUCGUCUCUUCCUUGCACUCGAAAUUUUAGAUAAGAAUAGACAAGUUACCUACAUAGAAUCGUUUACAAUGCCAAAAUUUCUAUCCGACGUAAAUGGGUAAAGUAGAAAUGUAUUCAUCCAUGGUAGGAGUGAGUAUUAGCCUAAAUUUAACUAAUCAUGCGACUUUCUUCGACGUGUGGUGUGCGGUAGCAUUACGAGGCAAAGUAUGAUCAUAAGAUAAUGAUUUCAUUUAAAUUUUCUCGCUGACAGAUAACCUCAUCAAUAGCCAGAGCAUUUUGUAGCCAUGAAAUGAGUCUCUUUUCCGGGGUUCAGAGUAUCAGUUUGAGCCAGAUGGUACAGGCUUGUACAGGAAAAGUAAAGAUAAAUAUUUGGCAAUAAUCCUCGUUAAAAUUUACACUUGUUGGGAUAACAAGGUCGAGAUGUCGAUUAAAUGUCGGCAUAGCGUUUAAAUCACAAACAUCCAAUAUCAUCAUCAUUUUCCAGGAAUCUGACUCCCGGGUUCAUUUGUUCCUUCAGGGGUCUUUAGGCUCUUCUGGAAAAUUGGAUUUUCUCUUUGUCAAGCGUUUCUUUAGAACACUUCAGAAAGUGUUAAUGCUAGGAUAGGACAAUGUUCAUUAUUGGUCCACUUCGCUUAUAGGGUCAUGGUCAUUUGUAUCCAUAUAGGGGCAUCGUACAACUCUUUCAACAUACCUACCCAUCCUCACUACCGCGUGUAAACAUGAUUAAUUGUACGAUUCAUUAAUUUUAGGAACACUGUAGCUGAAACAUAGUUUAGAACCCACUCAAAAUAAGGAAAGAAAAAUCAAUAAAAAGUCAGGGGAUGAAAUUGGUUAGGCACGGGCAGCUGCCAGAAAUUAGAACAACACGGUAAAGCCCGUAUAAUUUACGGUAAAAGUCCGUCGUCGGUACUCAUAAGUCCGUCUUUUUACGGUAAAAGUCCGCAUCAUCAUUCGUCCAGUUCUAUAAUAAAAUCGACAUGUGUGUAACGGUCAACGACCUACCUUUAAUCUUUACAUGCGGAAGUUCAGUGUUUAAAGAAGGGGAGAAUUGCGAGUGAACCUAGGCAUGGGGGACGUCGUAAGGACAGUCUUUCGCCAGUAGUACACGUUACUUUCUCCAAAUCGUACGACAUAGUCAGUCUCACUGUUGCAGAAUGGGCAUGUUGAGACGAUGUGUUAAUUAAAAAUAUUUUUUAAUUCAAAAAUUAGUUCGGAAGCGUAUGGAUUUAUGUAGCUUAUUUUAAAGAUUAAUGUAUGAAGUAAUUUUAGGAAAAAGAAAACUAGUGUUAUCUUGGACAGUUUUUGAGUAAUUAAGUAAUUAGUAAUAGUCCCAUGAUAAAAGUCCGAAAAUCGGGAAAAAUUAUCAUCGGAAACAUUAUGCAAAUUUUGGCUUAUUUAAUAGAUAAUAAUUGCGUAGUCAUGUUAAAAAUAUAAAAUCUUUGUAAGCCUGUCUUAGUUUUCGAAAUAUAAAUAAUUUAAGUAAUUAAAAAUAGCAUAGGGAAUUGUGUAAGAAAAGUAGCUACAGAUUGGGUAGAUGCGUCAACCACGUCAUCUGGUGGCAAGCGGUUGAAUCACUUCGCAAGAGAGCGGAAAGAGAGAACCAAAAAAGUAAGUAGGUAGUUAAGUGUAUAAGUAAAUGGGAAGAGAAGAUUUGCGCAAAAAGAGAGAGAGCAUGCUCGCACUCACUAAAAGUCACUCCGAGAGCACGGUAGAAGUAUGAGUAAGAGCAGAGAAGAUUAAUUUUAAAGUGUUAGUAAUUUAAUUGAUAGUGCAUUAAUUACCAAUUCAUUGUUGUAUUGUAGUUAAUAGUGUGUCGUAAUAAAACCAGUUAAUCUAGUUGAAAAGCGCUAGUUCUGGGACUUUAUUGGCCUUAUUACUGCAACAAGUUAUGCAACGUGAAAAGAGGGACAUUUCUGCUUAUCAUUAAGUCAUCAGUUAAGUUAUCUUGCGACGCUGUUGGAUUUUACACAUCCAUAAGUUAGCUACAGUGAGCAGCGCCGUAACAUUGGCGGUAACAUUAACUUAAAGAUGUGUCAUCUUUAAGUAUUUACACACAGGUCUUAACACUUUGGGGUCGCGCCUCAGGUCAAUAGAAAGGGUUAGUACUUCUGUCCAGGAAGGAAAGAAACGGUAGCUCCAACCUUAUACCUGACAGUUAGGAAAUAUUACAAGAAACUGGGACAGUAAUUUUACUCCCGAUAUGUGAUCGGUAGAGUUGCUAAAUAAAGCAUUGUAACACCGGUAUAAAAAUUAAUUCCCGACAAAUGUUUCGGAGAAGCUAGCAUUAAGUCCCUAUCACACUAAAAUUAGUUGAAACCAUAAGGGCAUUUAACCCUCCGACAAGGGAGGAAGAGCGCUAUAGAAAUCAAAAUACGUAGGCGGUACGCUGCGGCAAAAGAGAUAUAGAAAUACGGUAUACUGAGAAAGUAUACAGAAAAGAAAGGGGUCAUCUCAUCACUGUGUGCUGCAGACAUAGUUCAACAUGAGACGAAAAACAAGCGGUUUUUGCUGUAAGCUUUAGAACAGGUCAAAUAAUAAGUACGAUUCUGUCACAGCAUGACAAAUAGUCAUCAAAAUAUUAAUAAUUAAAUAUUAGCUUAAAAGUAAUGUUCACUCAACGGUCAUUAAGUUUUGUAUCUGAAUGCCUGAAUUUUACGUUUAACAAUGAUUGAUACAAAGAUAGAUAGGAAAAAAGAAACGAAGCUUAGAAAAGGGUACGUGAACUGAUCACUCACGUGGCAUCUAUUCAGAGUUAUCUUUUCCACUUUCCACUUAGGAAUCAAGUAAUUCCCGAAAAUGAAUAUACCAAUGAAGACAAAAAGGUAUAACGAAUAAUUGUAACAACGGAAUAAUUCUUCCCCAUUUUCAUGAUAUGAGGACCUGAUAAGAUGAAAGUAAUCACUUUCACCUUCAAUUCUUUCACCGUCAGGAAUAAGCAAUAGCACAGUUUUCGUCUUUCUUAGCAACUUUAUCUAUUAAUUUCCAACUUUCACUCUCCAUAUGUCUCAUCAUCUCAACAGCUCAUGAAGAAUGUGGUAAUCUUCAUGAAGUCAACUACAAUUCCUAUUGAAUGAAAAAUUGAUAGGUUCACCGAACACUGUAUUCGAUGAGGAAAUUGACAUUGUUUGUUCAAAGUUUUCCAAGACCGGGAAACACAUUUUGUAAUUAUCCAUUUUCUUGAAUAUUCAUUUCACAUUCAUAUUCAUAUUAUUUCUUUGAAAAGCUUUCACUCAGGCCAAAAAGACAAAGUGUUAGUAAUUUAAUUGAUAGUGCAUUAAUUAGUCACCAAUUCAUUGUUGUAUUGUAGUUAAUAGUGUGUCGUAAUAAAACCAAGAUGAAUACCAAGUAAAUAUGCAUGCUCUUAAACAUCCCAUCUUAAUAAUUGCCACGCGGUGUUCAUAUAUAUAUAUGUGACUUAACCAAAUGGUAAUAAUGUUUUUCAGCUUAUCAUGAUAAAUCUUGUCCGCUUGGGGACAACUUGUCACUGAUUUUACCACCAUUGGGAAACAUUCUCACUACUUGGUGAAAUUGCAUAUGCACACCGUUCGGUGGCGAUUUAUACCAGAUUUUUAAGAGUAUACUUUCACUCUGCCUUCAGCUUGUAUUAUCAUGGCUGACUUAUCGAUCACAGUGAGUCAUUAUGACUCACUGAUACGUAUGUACCUGAAACAAGAUCUCAUGUUGUAUGUAUUUGCAAAACAUUGACGUAUGCAUGCAUGCACGAGCUCUGCGCAAUUGAUUGGAUGGAAUUGAGCUUAAUUUGAUACAGUGUGGCUAUUAAAAGAGGGUGCAUUGUGGAAAUCACUGGCCGCGGAAGAUCAGUUAGACCGUGGGGACAUAAAUUUUCAUGUUAAUUCAAGAAAACUCAAAAUCUAUCUGAUUGAUACAAAAAUAAUCAAAUAUUUGAAUUACAAUAGUUAUAAAUUUAAUCAAUUAUCCUGAAAUUGGAUGGGAAAAGCAAUAUUAUUUCCGAAUUUCAAUAUAAUUUUGAAAUUAUAGUUUAAGCUGUCGUAUGAGGUUGAUGUUUUUGUACUUCAGUCCUUCUAAAUCGUGGGGAUAAAUGCAUUGCAUGUACUACGAUACGAUAAAGUUUCCGUGGGGACAGUUUCCCUAUGUCCCCAUGCUUCCGCGGCCACUGGUGGAAAUCCUUACUUCGGCGGGAAAAUCCGUCUCUACCUUUGGCCGCAUUCAUGGGGGAAGAAACCUUACUAUUGUAAAUGCUCAAAAUAUACUGGAUCAAUUCAAAUUUAAAGUUGACCCCCUCUGAGAUGAAAUACAUGAAAUAAUAAGCAACUCCAUAAGACGAGUCCGCCUUCAUGAAUGAAGUAUGUAGAACAACUAUUAAUUUUAUAAGAUGAAUAGUUGUUCACUCACUAAUUUAGGACCUGAGUGAGUAAUAACUCACAUUACUCAGUUAUCAAGAUGAGAAUAUAUGUAUUUACUUCUUUUUGUGGUAUAUGACCAGAAGAACAUAUGACUUAUCUUAAUUUUCUGCAAAUUAUUCGUGGUAAAUUACAUAUAAAAUUUGUUAAGCGCUGAAUUUUCGGGACGCAAUUUCCAUUAAACUCAAUUUUGGAACGAGUUAAGGAAAAUCCGUACUAAAAAAAAACAGUCAAAUAGUUCGCAGAUCGUCCUAUGUUUUUAUUGACUUCAAAAAAAUACUAACCUGUGGAUAAAAUCUUUUUCCCCACCUCGUAUCAAUUGUGAUUAAUCGAUCAUCUCGUCAUUACCAAUGUCAGGGCGACACCGAUAAGGAUAAGCGACUUAAAUCGAAAUAUUGCGAGAUAACACAACUUGACAAGAUUACGUACAUACAUUUGUGUAAAGGUUGCAUAUAUGUAUUUAUUUAGCAGGACAAAACCUUACUCGGACUUUUACCUUGGAACUUGUCGAGCUAAAAAUUUAGUCACAAAUAAAUCAUGACGAAAGUAGCUCUAAUUUUUUUGGUCCUCGUCGUCAUGGCGACGAGCGCCGUACAAGGCAGCACCCUGAACGAAAAUAAGAAGGGCGAACUGAAAAGUAAACUGUUGGAAGGAGGUUUGGAUUGGGAGUGUCCCUCGUAUUGUGAUUACUGCACGGGUUCCACCUGCUAUUAUUACGAUUACUAUUAUGGCGGCGACUUUGAGCUGGCGUGAGUUAAUUGAAAUAAAAUUUUUAGGAAACAAAUUUUGAAAGUUUGAAAUAUUAUUUUUUACGUCGUAAGCGGGAGUCACAAUGGAAGAUUUUGGUUAAAAUUGGAACAGAUUUAAUUUGAUGCAAGGUUCGAUUCGCGGUGGAAUUUGGCUUUUUUAUGCAAAAUUUAUUGCAAAUAAUGUUUUUUUUAAAUUCAGAGGUGUUUGAAUAAUUGCAUUUUUUAAAUUUUGGGGGAGUUUACUAUGUCGUAGGUUCGAUUCCUGGUCGAUUUUAUUUUUGUGUCAAUUCAUUGUAAAUAAUGAGUUUUUAAUACAUGGGUAUAUAGUCGGAUAAUUGUAUUGGUUACAAUUUGUAUAACUUGACGUCACGUUCGACUCCUGGUAGAAUUUGUUUUUAUUUGGAUUUGUUGUUGUAAGUAAUGAAUUUUAAUGAAGACUUAGACGAAUAUUUGGUUGGUAAUUUAAAAAUCCAGAUAUGUAAAUUUUUUUGUCUAGUGUGAGUUUGUUUAGUAUUUUUACGUAAAUUUAUUACGACAAAUAAAGUUUCAAUGCACCUUUCCGGGAAUAAUUGUCAUUGUUAAAAUUUUUACUUGGAUUAAUUUGCAUUCAGGUUCGAUUCCUAGUAGAAACUGGGAAUUUUUGAAUCACAAUUUUUUUCUCAGAAUUUAUUUUGAUAACCUGCUAAACUUUUAAUACAGGGUUGGUUGGAUAGUUGCCAUUUCUAUCACCCUCUUCAUCAUCUUCUUUGUCUGCAUUCCUGUCGGACUUUGCUUCUGUUGCGGAUGGUGCUGUUUCACAGGUUGUCGGAAACGAGAUCAACCCGGGAUCGUUUAUGUGCAAGGACCACCCCCCGCUGGUUGGGGGCAACAACAGGGGACCGGUCAACCACAGCAGUACGGGUAUCCACCACCAUACCCGCAUCAGCAACAAUACGGCCAAAAAGUCAACACUUAGCGUCUGUAACGAUUUGUGUUUAAUUUGUACAUAUAACAUGAAAUAUGUAAGAUUUUGAGUAAGAUAAUAAAUUAAUAAACGUUUUAUUUUGAAUUGUCCCAACAGCGCAUAUUACGGGCUCAAUACAAUGUCAAACUGAUGUAAAUUGUUAAACUCGAACAAGAAUGAUAGAAAAACAUACCAAUCAAAGAGAUUUUUAAGAUACUUGAAAUAAUUUGACAAGCUAAUUUUACUUACACAUAUGCAUGCACUUCUAAACCAAAAAUUUAUACUAAUAGAUUAAUUUUAGCGAUUAAUUCGUUUCAAUUAUAAUUUGACUUUCAUAAGUGGACUAAUUUAGUAAAACCGAUGAGUUGAUCUUCUAGCGAAAAUUAAACCUUCUAAUUCUGGAUUUUUUUGACAAGAAGAACAAGAAGAAAAGAAACAAUAGCUAAAAAAACAACAAAAAAAAGGAAAAACAAAAACAAAAAAAUUUGCACCAAUAGGAUUCACAUUGAUACAAAUUAUUAGCAUGAUUUGCAUUAUGUACAUAUAUGAAAGUAUUAAUACACAUCAAUAUAAUUCCACAUUUGGAGGUUAAAUAUGCAUGUACAUAUACAACUUACUCGAACUUUCCACCUCAUUUGAUCUCAUAAGCAUUAUCUUAUUUUAUUACCACCCCGUUCAUGUUUUACUUAUCAGGACAACCUUAUCAAGAGUUGGGAUGGACCGAAAUCCAACACAUGGGGAGGAUCGUGCAUAACCAAUGUAAUAUUUUUUUCAACAAAUCAGAUUAGUCGAUGCGUAUGUAAUCUUUGCACAAAAUAUGUAAUAGCCUGGCCCAUUCUUUUAAUCCCAAACUGUCACAUCCCUCAUACACACUCCCCCAGCGACGUCAAUCAGAUCCUCUAAUUAUUUAUGCGAGGGCAACGUUACUUCAAAAAAUUCGCGAGCAUGCUAUCUUGCCGCACUUAUUUGUCGAGGGAGUAUCCAUCCAAUAUUUUUCCCUGGAUGAUUACAGAUUACACCGACUCAGUAAUAUUUUACAGGGUGGAUGUUACAUUGCUAAUAAUUUUGCAAUAAAUAUGGCAACAUCAAUGUAUCGUGAUCUCAUUGCAAAUUAAAUUUUAACGUUGUCACCUGGAUAAAAUCACACCAAUGUCAGUCCCAAUUGUAAAAAACUCGGCAAUGGAAUAACAGCUUAAUUUUUCUCGUUGGGCGAUGGGUAAAUUGAAGGAGGGGUUUUAAGCCAAAAAACCUCUGGGGGAACGGUAAGUGAAAAUUAUGUAUCAAUUAGCAAACAUUUUAAAUUGCGUUCAUGAUGUCACAUAAAUUACAGUAUUGUACAUUCAUAUUUUUAAUUUUUAUAGAAAACAUCAGAAAGUUUAAUACCGCUGGGGUAAGCGACAUUACAACGUAUCGGAACCAAUUAUUAGGUGCGUAAUUUUGUUGUAAUUAUUUAUAUUGUUAAACACCUAGGCAUAAAAUUAAUAUUAGCUUAUACGAGAUUAUUGCCAAAAGUAAUAUUACCAAGUACCAAUUUAUAACUAAUUUGUUUUACCGGUGGAAAAAUAAACUGGUAAAUUAAUAUAUUUAUUUUGCCAAUAAUUAAGGUAAUACAUACGUCGCUACCGUAGCAACCGUUUGGAUUGGCAUUGUCACCAUAAAAAAUAACUACGAAUUUUCUAACAGAUCAAAUGGAUCCUGCUCAUUUAUCUGAACAGGCUGAAGAUUAUAAUAUCAAUUCGCUCUCCCCGUUCGAGAGCGAAAACGAGAUGGAUUUCUCCGAUCUGCUAGUCGCUUUUCCCUCGAUACCCAUCGAACCUCACGAUGUAGGCGGGUCGUACUCGGAAUUUACCUUGUCUCCUUUAGGGACGUGGUUGCAAGACAAUGCGGCCGCCUUGGGCGAUGAUGACGUGUCCUUUCCGGGCAUCGGCUUCAUCAACCGAGCCGAGUUAUGUUGCCCAGCUGAUGAGCCAUCUUUGUCAACACCAGCUGACCAAAGAAAUCCUAUUUUAUCACCGCCGGUGGACCAAGUCAAUCCUAUUUUACCACGUCCAGCUGACCAAAUCAUUCUUGUUUUAUCACCACCAGAUCAGCCAGUUGGUAGGAUUCUACCCCAACCUACUCAGCGGAAUAAUUAUAUUUUAACACCACCAGCUCAACCAGUUGGUACCCUUGUAUCAUUAAAAGUGAAGCAAUGUAGUAUGACCUUAUCACGAUCUGGCAAAGGCGAUGAUCAGAUUUUAUCACAACCAUUAAAAAAGAAAAGGGGUCGACCACCAAAAUUGAAGGAACCAGCCCCACCAGCCUUGCCCCGGGUAAAGAAAUAUGACCUAAUACCUGACACAAAGGCAGUCAGGAACGCUAUUGCCGCCCGGAAAACCCGAAUCCGAGCAAAGGAACGACUCGCUAAGCUAGAAGCCGAAGUAGCCGCUAAAGAAGAUACAAUAUCGCGACAAAACAAAACCAUUGAACUGCAACGGGUGGAGAUUUUGAAAUUGAAGGACCUAGUGGGCCACAUCGAGCAGACUUUAAAUUUAGCCAAGGGAAACAAUCAGGGGCAAAAUUUCGGCAUGUAUGAUGGUAAUUAAAUUUUGCCCCGAAAUAGUUAGUAAUUGGAAGCAACCAAAUUUUAAUAUUUCAAUUAAUAUGACUUUAAAUUUUCCAUUUUCUGUCCAUAAAAAUAAGAGGAUCUUAGGAUGAAUAAUCUUAGGAUUAUUUACAUUUUAAUAGACAAAGUUCAAAAAUAUUUAAACUUCUUUAGUCCAUUUUCAAAGUUGUUCUUCAAUAUUCAAUUUUAGACGGGAUUCAAUCAUUUAAAAGAUAAUUAUGCUAGAUCUUUAGAAUUAAAGUGGGGAAAUGAUGUGUACAAUUUAUUUCUUUGACUACUUAUUUUAUAAGCGGGAAAUAUAUUUGUACAGAAAAGGAUUCAUGAUUAGAUUUAAAUGAAGAUCAAUAUAGUAUUCAUCAAGGUGGUUGUUGCUGGCAGUCCAACUUCGCAAAUAUUAUAUUAAAUUAAUUAUCCAAGUAGGUAUGAAUAUAUUGUAGCAACAUAUUGAUGAGAAACAAUACAAGUAGAAAAUACCCUAUCUAGUUAGGUUGAAAGUUUUUGGCGGGAACAAUAACGAACACACUGUACACAGCAGUGAAUUUUCGUCACGUUAUCAUUUAUUUCUCUUCUAGAAUUAUUUAAUCUAACAAUUCCGCCAGGGUUCCAAAUUUUAUGUAAAAAUUUUAAAAAUCUUAUACCGCCAUUUAUUGUACUUGGAAGACUUUAGGUUUGGUGAUUUUGCUCCUUAAUCCAUCCCCAUUAUUGGUGCUGGAUUGCGUGGUAAAAUCAUCAAACUAGAACUCUUCCAAGUACAAUAAGUGUAUUUCUUUCCCUGUAAAUAUAAUGUUAUUGGAUAGUUUAGUAAUAUGUAUAUUCAAAAAUUAAGUAGAUGUAAAUUAGGUUAAAUCCAGCUUAAAUUAAAAUAGUUAUUUAAAUUUCAAAAAGGUAAAAAAAAACACAAUACAUCAAAUAAAAUCAUAAAAAGUUUAAGCGCAAAAAAAUAAAAUAUAAUAAGAUUUUAACUAUAUUUAGUUAGUUAAUAAAUAAAUAUAUCUUGGUUAAAUAUGUAUAUGUAUCGUUGGAAAAUUUAGGAAAUGCAAAUUACUUUGAAUCACCUGGCGUUAAGUAAAAUUAUUUUAAUUUCCAAAAAGUAAAAAAAAUCAUAAACCAGUUUAAAGGGUAAAAAAUUAAAUUAAGCUUUCAACUAGAUUUAGGUAAUUAGGGCGUGAUUUAGAUAAAUUACGUUAAUCUAACUUUAAUUAAAAUUUGCAUUGCUUAAAAAAAUAUAUUGAAUAAUCUGAUAUAAUUUCAACCGUAUUAUGAGACGAUGAGAGAUGUUUGGGAUUCGAAGAGACGAAAUAUAUGAAUAGAUUAAACUACGUUGUCCUGUUUCAGUUUACAAAACUCUCUUUAGUUGACUUCAUCAAAUUCUAUUAACUUCAACCACGCAGCACAAAGUAUCUAAGUAAAGUCUAACAACACACACGUCUCAAUUUAUAAUACACACAGUCCACGUGAAAUAGGCAACAUGGCAGAAAAAAUAAAAACAAAUUCGUCGUCUUCCCCUGAGGCAAAAAGUGCCUGUUUACCCCAGCUCUUCUGGCCAUUAAAGUUCAUCGUCCACUUUAUUAUACGCCUAGAAGGCCAUGCAAAUUUCCUUCGGCGAAAGUGAGAUCAGGUCCAAGUUCAAGUGCAACUGCAUUCAAGUAAUACCUUGUCAGUGGAGGCCAGAACGUUCCCGCUCUUUCCUCUACAAGUUCGAGUGUUGACUGUAGUGGAACUCCAGCCAGGUGUGGUGUAGUCAUUGCGACUGACCUGGUCGUAUUUGGUGCAUCGUAGCAAAAGGUUCUUUCAAUAGAAAGCAAUAAAAGGCAAUAAACAGCUAGUUGAUGAGUUCUACUAAAACAUUGAAGGCCAUAAAAAAUCAAUGACUACCGAUCUACAAUUUUUGUUGCAAAGUGGUAGCAAAAUAGUAGAAACUUGAAUCGAAUAACCGUGGCAAAAUAUUUGUUAUUUUAACGUGAUUCCAUAGUAUAAAAAAUUACUGUUAAUUCUUCAAACCAUUCUGCUACACAAAAAUAACAGUAAAAUUCAUGCAACUUUUCAUGAAACUUUUCCACGAGAAAAGUAGCGUGGAUUUCAACCAAAUAACAACCGUGGUAUUCACCAAAAUAUUGUACGAAAAAAUAACGCAGAUUUAACCUGGAAUGCGAACAAAGAGAGCGCGCAGAAUCCAAAGUAUUCCCUCACAUUUCUCUGUCACAAAGUCAGUUCAAUGAAAUUUUUCUCCCAAAAUGUCAUCCCUCCCAGUUCAUAAAUUUUGUAUAUACAAAUUGACUAUGAUGGCGAAAAAUUAAUAGAAAUAGCUCCCACGAUUUGGCUUGAAGAGGAGGAAACAUCGUGUUUCGGCCACCAGCUUCUAAACUAAAAAGUUUCUGUAAAAAGGGAAAUGUACAUCCCCUUCCAUCCUAGAGUAGACAGACGUAUGAUAAAAUCCUUGGAAAAUACGGUAAAUAUUAUCGAUUUAGUUCAAUUAUUAAUGUAAUUUACUUGAUUAUAUAAUUUAAAUAAAAAUCUCAAUUGCAGAUACGUGGAAAUUAGCUUGUGAGAAGGCGGAUAACGGAGGACACUUCCAAUCUUGAAAGCGCAUCAGAGAAUCGUUGAGAAAGCCGAAAUAAGAAACAUUAUCGAGAAUUGUUGCACCCGAACGUGUCAUCAAGCAGCAGUGAAGACGAGGAAGAUAAUUCCAUUAUAGUUUUACCUCUUCCCAUAGACAAUCAAGGAAGCAUUGAAGUGCAAGUAUCAACUCAAAACAACGACAACAUUCCUUCAGUAAAUCAACCAGAAGUGGGCAACUUGGAAGAGCAAGACAUUGGCGUACUUUUGGCGACAUUAGAGAUGAUUUUAAGAAAUUGAUUGAAGGUUAUCAUACAAGGAUUAUUAAAAUUCUUUAGCGGCAAAACGCAGAAAUUCUUGAGAUCAGAACUGCUCUCCAUAAUAUCCGAAUUUCAAACGAAGGAGAUGUUGAAGCUGACUUUUCAUCUAUUCCACAUCAUCAUCUGGAAACGAGAGAGCACCUUGAGCAAACUGAAAAUUGGCUGAAGCUUGCCGAUGCAAAUAAUCGAGAUCUAUUGGUAUAUUUAACUUUUUAACUUUUUUUAAUUUAACUUUUGAUUAAUUUUUUGAUGGCAUUAUUUUGUACGAAUUCACUUAUACACAUUAGCGCAGACGCCCUAAAAUUAGGUCCGCUUGAUUCAUUUAGUGCGUUUCCUUACCAAAAUAACAUGCAGUUUAUUAAACGAACUUUGAGGGCGUCAUACAAACCCUUAGAGCAAUGUGUCAAUAGGAUAAUUGAGAAAGAAACUGUUCCUUUGUCUCAACCUGUGUCUACAACUACUACCUCGUUUAAAUUAACCCGUAAUGACAAUUGUUAUAAGUUAAAAUCUGGGUCUAUUGUUGUUAUAUCAAAAUAUAUUAAAGAUAGUCAAGUCAUAGUAUGUAAGAAAUUCAUAAAGCUUGAAGAUUUGUACAAAAAUCCCAGCUCUAGUUCAGUUUUAGGCAUACAUCAGGUGCCAAAAACAUCAAAGUUUUAAAGUAAAUGUUUUACCGUAGUUGAAGCAAAAUGUUGGUUGAUGCCAUUGGAUGAAAAAUUAAUUGUUGUUCCUUUAAUAAAUUGUUAAUAUAAAUAAUAUAAUAUAAAUUGUUAAUAAAUUGUGAUUUUAUUACCAAAGAACUGUG
RNA transcript from Folsomia candida, 13632 nucleotides. RefSeq lists it as uncharacterized. NCBI's taxonomy places the organism in Eukaryota, Metazoa, Arthropoda, Collembola, Entomobryomorpha, Isotomidae. The record is from RefSeq and is a predicted model, not a curated record. The transcript is spliced from 4 exons.